Molecule: long non-coding RNA, 2308 nt
Organism: Brachypodium distachyon (stiff brome)
Lineage: Eukaryota; Viridiplantae; Streptophyta; Magnoliopsida; Poales; Poaceae
Exons: 6
Source: RefSeq, a predicted model, not a curated record
UGCCGGCUCGAUCAACCCAUACGAACUGCAAUGGAUAUCGUCUGGUUUUUCACUUUGUAGUUUGUACAACUACCGGGGGAUUCGCGAUGGCCACGUGCUUUUCUUGUUUGCUUUCUUGGGCGCUUCGGCCAUGGGAUCUUGCAGCAGGGAUCCAAGGUUGCCACGGCCUCACACUGUGCCGCACGCACCACAACUGUUCGACGGAAUGCCGGGCCAGGCCAGCGAUAGUGCCAGUCGGCCACCACCCUGUCUCCGGCAAGUGCCUGCCGGCACAUACACACUAGCUGUUCAUCCGGUCGGUCAGCUUGCUUGGUUGCUGCAGACCACAGCCCUUUUCUUUCUCGCCCCGGAGUCCGUCUGCCGGACUUUAUGCACAUCCAGUACACGAGCACUGUGGGCUGUGGCCAUCGGCUGGUGAUCAUCAUCAUCCAAGUUCCACCGUAUCAGUGCUAUAGCUCCUUCAACAUGCUAAAUCUAGUCGGCUGCCUCUCGAGUGGCGAGCAGCAUCCUUUUUCAAGGGUGGAGAUUGCCUGGCAUCCGGGGAGCCGUGCGAUCUGGAUCCGAAUCGCCUUUUGCUCAUGCUCUACGCGCACCAGGAUUUGGUGUACGUACGUACGUACGCCUUUUGCUUUGGUGGUGUUACGGCCGGGGCUUAAGGCUGCUUCUUAAGUGGAGAAGGGUGCUGCUCACCCUUUAUUCAGUGCACAUGACAGAAUGCUGACACCACUGCUGAUCUAUGCCACUAAACCAUGUGAAGAAGGCCAGCUUUCCUGCAUCCUUUUCAUUACCUUUUGUGCUCACAAAGUUAUCUGCAAAUAGUUUCAUAAUCCAAGUGCCUCCUUUGAUGCCUAAAGGCUACCGGCUGUUCACAGUUUCCAUCCUAGUAACAGGAACAAACUGUUGGGUCCAUAAGUGAAGACAUCAAGAUGCAGGAAAUUAAAAUCGUUCCUGGUUUCAUCUGUUUCCCUCCGUCGAAUGAAUGACCGACAAUUCAACCGUCCUUGGAAGUCCUUUCAUUUGCAUGUCCAAAUCCCACCACGCAUGCAUGUCCCGGUUUUUUCGUACAUUCCUGAAGCUGGGGAAUCAAUGAGAUGCGAUUCAACAGCGACCUCGCAUCAUAAAAGCCCUUACAGGGAACUAUCCAAAAGAUUUCCCUGUACUGGUUUUGCAGUAAUUGUAGGGUGCAAAUAGAUGGUCCACUUUUCCCCACAGCGAAAUGUUGUCGUCUCCAAAGAAGAAAUGAUGUUCCUGCAUUUACUGUCCGUGGGUCUGCAUCUGUCCUUAUUGUUUAAUCAUGCAGUUCAUUGAUUUUUGAAUUAGAAAGAAAGGAGUAUAUGGCCUGCUCAAGGUAGGUGAAUAGAAGUAGACGGGAAUCAUAAUACACACUGGAGUCUACCAUCUUGAGAAAAUUCAAGCAGACAAAACCCAGAUAAUUUUUAUCCAAGUAAAAAGGAACAUUCAGGUAGCAAGAUCUAUCUACUUUGACUAACUGCUAUGUGUGCGCACCUCCAUGGAGAUCUGUUUCGCAACAAGUGCUCAAAGUGGCCGCACAAAGUGAUACAUAGUGACUUCCAAGAACUUUGCAUUUCCCCCUGGCUACACAUGGCCAUGGGCUUAAUUGGCCGAGAAGUGGGAGCAUUAUCAAAAGAACAAUGGAAAAGGAAACUUAUCUAGAAGCUUGCCUCAUCUUUUUCUAGCAACAGAUUCAAAGGAAACACCGUCCUGGACCGAGAGUUGGCAAAAGGAGAAUUCGACAGGAAAUUGUCUCGAAUGGGGUUCUAGAAAUGUUGGACCCGACUCCAUCAUGUCUUGCUCCUUUCUUAAAGUAUGUACACUUGAAGACUAGGUAGGUAAAAAGAGUGGGAAGCUGGGAAGAGGGACAAGAAGAGAAACAGCAUAAUGGCGGGGAAGGACUUUGAAAGAGCCAACUGGGCCCAGAAGGGGGAGGCCCAGGCGAGCCACAAGGAGGGGGCAGGAGGACGGAAGCUCAGAGCUGGCGGGCCCGGUUCUGUUUCCGUGGGCCAACCAAGGUAGUAGGCCUUUUAAUUUUCUCCUCGUGGGGCCACCGCUCAGAGGCCUUCACAUGACCCUUGUCUCCUGACGCCCCUUGCUCGCGCGUCGAGUACGCACGUACGUUGCGGCGGGCCCACCCGAUUCGGUUUCAGCAGUGGUAGUUGUCCCACGUGGCAUCAUCUAAUUUGUCUUUGUUUGGAAACAGCAUGAUUACAUUUCUACAUCGAGUUCAAGCUCGACUUUGAGUAUGUGGGUUUCGAGUAUAUUGACAAUUGAAAUUUUCUGCUGAUUCGUG